This 111-nucleotide non-coding RNA is filed under the name Petrocella atlantisensis. Lineage: Bacteria; Bacillati; Bacillota; Clostridia; Lachnospirales; Vallitaleaceae. The record is from RNAcentral.
UGCGCUAUCCACUUAGUGUAACUCUAUCUAUGGGUGCGUCAUUGGUAACGAUGAGGUGCUAAGCCAUAGGGACAACAUGGGAAAUCUGCAAGCCUAAAAGCGGAUGGACUG